AUGCGUCAAGUACAAGAGCUUCUCGACAAAGGUUAUAUACGCGAAUCCCUUAGUCCUUGUGCUGUUCCUAUUAUUCUAGUGCCGAAAAAGGAUGGUACAUCACGUAUGUGUGUUGAUUGUAGAGGCAUUAAUAAUAUUACUAUUCGUUAUCGUCAUCCUAUUCCUAGGCUAGAUGAUAUGCUUGAUGAAUUGAGUGGCUCUACAAUAUUCUCCAAAGUUGAUUUGCGUAGUGGAUACCAUCAAAUUCGUAUGAAAUUGGGAGAUGAAUGGAAAACAGCAUUUAAAACUAAGUUUGGAUUAUAUGAGUGGUUAGUCAUGCCUUUUGGGUUAACUAAUGCGCCUAGUACUUUCAUGAGACUAAUGAACAAAGUUUUACGUGCUUUCAUUGGACGAUUUGUGGUAGUCUAUUUUGAUGAUAUACUGAUUUAUAGCAGAUCUUUGGAAGAACAUUUGGAACAUUUACGUGCUGUUUUUAUUGCUCUACGUGAUGCACGUUUGUUUGGUAACCUUGGGAAGUGCACCUUUUGCACCGACCGAGUAUCUUUUCUUGGCUAUGUUGUUACUCCACAGGGAAUUGAAGUUGAUAAAGCCAAGAUUGAAGCUAUUGAGAGUUGGCCGCAACCCAAAACGGUCACACAAGUGAGGAGUUUUCUUGGCCUCGCUGGAUUCUAUAGGCGUUUUGUGAGAGAUUUCAGAACCAUUGCUGCACCUCUCAAUGAGCUUACAAAGAAAGAUGUGCCUUUUCUUUGGGGUACCGCACAGGAAGAAGCCUUCACGGUAUUGAAAGAUAAGUUGACACAUGCUCCUUUACUCCAACUUCCUGAUUUUAAUAAGACUUUUGAGCUUGAAUGUGAUGCUAGUGGAAUUGGAUUAGGAGGUGUGUUAUUACAAGAUGGCAAACCUGUUGCAUACUUUUCUGAAAAAUUGAGUGGGCCUAGUCUGAAUUAUUCUACUUAUGAUAAAGAAUUAUAUGCUCUUGUUCGGACUUUAGAAACAUGGCAACAUUAUUUAUGGCCCAAAGAAUUUGUUAUACAUUCUGAUCAUGAAUCAUUGAAACAUAUUAAAAGUCAAGCUAAACUGAAUCGUAGACAUGCUAAAUGGGUUGAAUUCAUUGAGACUUUCCCUUAUGUCAUUAAACACAAGAAGGGAAAAGAAAAUGUUAUUGCUGAUGCUUUGUCUCGUCGCUAUACUAUGCUUUCACAACUUGACUUCAAAAUAUUUGGUUUGGAGACCAUCAAAGAUCAAUAUGUGCAUGAUGCUGAUUUUAAAGAUGUAAUGCAUAAUUGUAAAGAAGGACGAAUGUGGAACAAGUUUGUUGUUAACGAUGGAUUUGUGUUUCGUGCUAACAAGCUAUGCAUUCCAGCUAGCUCCGUUCGUCUUUUGUUGUUGCAGGAGGCGCAUGGAGGAGGAUUAAUGGGACACUUUGGCGUGAAGAAGACGGAGGACGUACUUGCUACACAUUUCUUUUGGCCAAAGAUGAGACGGGAUGUUGAGCGUUUUGUUGCUCGCUGCACUACAUGUCAAAAAGCUAAGUCACGCCUCAAUCCUCAUGGUUUAUAUAUGCCUUUGCCUGUACCUAGUGUUCCUUGGGAGGAUGUAUCUAUGGACUUUGUUUUAGGUUUACCUCGAACAAAGAAGGGGAGGGAUAGCAUAUUUGUUGUCGUGGAUAGAUUCUCGAAAAUGGCACACUUUAUACCAUGUCAUAAAAGCGAUGAUGCUGUUAAUGUUGCUGAUUUGUUCUUUCGUGAAAUUAUUCGCUUGCAUGGUGUGCCAAAUACUAUUGUUUCAGAUCGUGAUACUAAAUUUCUUAGCCACUUUUGGAGAUGUUUAUGGGCUAAGUUGGGGACUAAACUGCUUUUUAGUACUACUUGUCACCCCCAAACUGAUGGACAAACUGAAGUAGUCAAUAGAACGUUGUCUACUAUGCUUAGGGCUGUUUUGAAGAAUAAUAAGAAAAUGUGGGAGGAAUGCUUGCCUCAUAUUGAAUUUGCUUAUAAUCGUUCAUUGCAUUCUACCACUAAGAUGUGCCCUUUUGAAGUUGUGUAUGGUUUCCUACCUCGUGCACCUAUUGAUUUGUUGCCUCUUCCAUCUUCGGAGAAGGUUAAUUUUGAUGCUAAACAACGUGCUGAAUUGAUUUUAAAAAUGCAUGAGUUAACUAAGGAAAACAUUGAGCGUAUGAAUGCUAAAUAUAAACUUGCUGGAGAUAAGGGUAGAAAACAUGUUGUGUUUGCACCUGGAGAUCUUGUUUGGUUACAUUUGCGUAAGGAUAGAUUUCCUGAUUUGCGCAAAUCAAAGCUAAUGCCACGUGCUGAUGGUCCCUUUAAGGUGUUAGAGAAAAUAAAUGAUAAUGCAUAUAAACUUGAGCUGCCUGCAGAUUUUAGGGUUAGUCCCACUUUUAACAUUGCAGAUUUGAAGCCUUAUUUGGGUACUUUCGUUUCUUGGUAA
This 2445-nucleotide ribosomal RNA is filed under the name Triticum aestivum (bread wheat). RNAcentral's name for it is "partial small subunit ribosomal RNA". The record is from RNAcentral. Lineage: Eukaryota; Viridiplantae; Streptophyta; Magnoliopsida; Poales; Poaceae.